Small nucleolar RNA from Raphanus sativus (radish), 85 nucleotides. RefSeq annotates it as small nucleolar RNA snoR114. Lineage: Eukaryota; Viridiplantae; Streptophyta; Magnoliopsida; Brassicales; Brassicaceae. The transcript has a single exon. The record is from RefSeq and is a predicted model, not a curated record.
GAGCUGUGAAGAUUAUUGGUUAUAGCGAUGGUUGGGUCCUUCGCUUUCAUCCGUUCUACGAUGAUAUUUGCCACUACCUGAGCUC